UUACGUCACCGUCGACUUCCACCGGACAAAAGUAACGCCAACACGUAGAGGAGAAGGAUACGAAUACUUUUAUCUUAAAAUCACACAAUUAUUAAUAAUAAUAAAUGCUAUACAAAUGAAUUUAGUAUAAAACUCAAAUACAAUACCUAUCCCUCUGGAUAAAAUAAAACUUAAAACAACAAGGGCGAGGAAACUCUAUAAAAAAUAACAGGAAUCACAAGUAAAACUACUAGUCGUCUGCAUCUUCUAACUGAAUCUUCGAACCUGUGUCACUGAAAGGGUGGAAGAUUUGGGGUGAGAACAAACCACACGUUCUCAGUAGGGAAUGGGAAUGCCGUAAAAGUAAUGAAUUUAAUGCAAAUAAUUAACUUACUUAGUAAAACUAUUUUGGUAAAUUUUUGAAAAUACUUUUAUUUCCACUUUAGAUAAACAAUUACUUUUCUUUAAAUUUCUAAAACUCAAAACAAAUUUUAAAUAUAAAACUAGUCACAUUUUCUGUCUCUCAGCCACAUAGUUAAUCCUUAGUCAAAUGUCAACUCGUAAUCACUUUAAUACACUCACAAACAAAAAGUGCAAGCAAGAGAUUCAAACCAACAUACAAACAAGUCAAACAGCACAAUCACAGAGGAGUAAUACAAGCAAACACAACCAAAUACAAAUGUGCAAACAACAUGAUGCAUGUCUAUCCCUAACGCAGGCCAUGAGCUCAUGUGUCGGUUGCCUACCCGCUUUACAUUUGACUCUAAGACCCAAACAAUGUCACAUAUGCUCUCCUGUGGCAGACAAUCUCUUUAAGUUAAUAUAUCCUUUAGGUCCUUGUUCUCUACUCUCCUGUGGCAGAGAUUCCUUUUCUUAAAAAUCCGAGCUCAAAACAGCACUUAAAACAAAAUCUCUCCUUACAAAUUUGGAUUUAAAACAUUAUGUUUUUCUUAAUAAAUCUAGUUUAAAAAUAGAAUACACCUUUUCUCAACUAAAUAAAUCUCAAAUAAUUUAAUUUUGCAAAACCAAAUCUUUUAAAAUAACUUUUCAAACAAAACCUCAGAUUUAAUAAAAUUUCGGCGGCAUUUUCUCUAAAAUUGGGGUUAGCCACCCUUUUUCGGGUCCCAACUGAACCAUUUUCAACCUCUUUUCAAUCGAGAAAUCAAGUACAUAUUCAUCAAAUUCAGUCACAAACACAACUCAAACUCAUCAUUCAGUUAUUGCAAACAAUCAUAAAUUAUUUACAAAUACCCACUAGACUUCCAUGGCAUUCAUAGUUUAAAAACAGUUAAUUUCAAAACAAAAUCCCCUACCUUCGUAUGAAAUCAAAAUUAUCGAAAGCUCCAGAGAAGCUUUCUGACCGAGCUGCUGAAGGAGAAAGCGUCAGAAAUCGUCUGUGCUUCCUAGAACUCCAGUUAACCGAACUCAAGGGGUAGGGGAGUUACGUCACCAUCGACUUUCACCGGACAAAAAUAACGCCAACACGUAGAGGAGGAAGAUACGAACACUUUUACCGGAUUAGAUUUUUCAUUGGAGUUACGGAUCUCAAGAAAUCGAAGUUGGAAACUCACGGUUCCAUGGUUUCCGUUCUCUUCUCUCUCUCACGGUGUUUCUUUUCUUUUCUUUAUCAGGUUCGGUGAAUGAAGAAGGAAUAUGUGCAAUUAAUGAAAGGAGGUACGUGUUAUGAUCUAAGGUCGUGUGUGAUAAAUAGAUGAUUUGGUGUCACCAAUCUUUCUUUUCUUCCCAAGUACAAGUUCGGUUAGCAUAAUGAAUUGGAGAAGAUAUUUAUUUGGUGGAAGAAUGAUUUGUCAAAGCAAAGCAAAGUUAAAUGUCAU
RNAcentral lists this long non-coding RNA (1814 nucleotides) under Arachis ipaensis. RNAcentral describes it as "long non-coding RNA (AIPA_LNC002620)". The record is from RNAcentral. Lineage: Eukaryota; Viridiplantae; Streptophyta; Magnoliopsida; Fabales; Fabaceae.